RNAcentral lists this long non-coding RNA (920 nucleotides) under Ananas comosus (pineapple). RNAcentral describes it as "long non-coding RNA (ACOM_LNC039513)". Lineage: Eukaryota; Viridiplantae; Streptophyta; Magnoliopsida; Poales; Bromeliaceae. The record is from RNAcentral.
UGAAUGUAAGCUAAUGUUUAUAUUUUGGAAGAUGUAAGCUUUAUAUUAUGUUUAGAAGCUUAAUGUAUAAUCAAGUGUAUUAUGAAGGCUGAAUGAAUGUAAUAGAUAGAUGUUCCUCUCUUUAUCAUUACUUGUAUGUUCUAUACUUGUAUCUUGCUCUUGGUUGUUUUGCACUGAUUGUGCUCUCGUUGUAGUUAUCGAUUGUGUAUGUAUUCAAGUUAUUUUCCUGGGAACUUGUUGUACACAAUCUUGUUGUUAGCCUUGGGCGGACAGGGGAGGUGCUGUCCGUCCGGCGUCUGUUCGACGCGCCCGGGUCGAGCCAAAUUGGUAGCGGUCGCGGGGCGUGACAGAAGCUACCACACGGAGAUUAAUUGAAAAGCCGAAAAGGUUGAAAAAAAAAUUUGAAUAUUUUAUAAUUUUCGGAGUUAUAAGGUGUUAGUUUGAAAAAGAAGCUCAAAGAGCCACCCCCGGUAUCAUAUUAGUUAAAUCUCUAUUUUGAACGAAUUGCGACAAAUUGGUGUCAAUUUUGCUGAAUUUCUAAAAAUCAUUUUUCGUGAACCGUUACAUCUUGAUGAUUUUGAAACUCGAGGUCAUUUUUUAUAACAAAAUUGUGAUGUUUCGAUAUAUUUUGAAAUCUUAUAAUAUUUUACCAUCAUUAUAAUGAUUUUUGAAGUAAAGUCCUUAAUUUGUAUGAAAUUAAUUUAAGUUUAAAGGGUUUUUAAAUUCAAAUUUUUGAAAUCUGGAAAAGUGUACCGGUACAAAAUCCCGUGUACCGGUACAAAUUACUGUAGCCGCGGAAAUAAAACCGGUUACAGGGCUUUUAUUCUCCUCCAAAUCUAAAUCAAAUUUCGUUCUCUCUCUCUCUAUAAUCUCCAGGAGACUUCCUCUUCCAGAUCUACUCAGUUUUCCCAAAAAUCUGU